AUGUUCAAGUUAGAUCUAGCCAAGGCUUUCGAUUCUGUGUCUUGGGAGUUCCUUCUCAGCCUACUAGAAUUUAGAGGGUUUGGGCCGAAGUGGAGGGACUGGAUUUCCGCUCUUUUCCUUACCUCAUCCACCAAGGUCUUGGUUAAUUCGGCACUUACCGAUCAGAUUCUGCAUCGCAAGGGACUUAGACAAGGGGACCCCCUAUUCCCCCUUCUUUUUGUCUUGGUAGAUUGA
This 234-nucleotide ribosomal RNA is filed under the name Triticum aestivum (bread wheat). Its description in RNAcentral is "partial small subunit ribosomal RNA". Lineage: Eukaryota; Viridiplantae; Streptophyta; Magnoliopsida; Poales; Poaceae. The record is from RNAcentral.